Molecule: unclassified non-coding RNA, 412 nt
Filed under: soil metagenome
Description: partial contains 5.8S ribosomal RNA, internal transcribed spacer 2, and large subunit ribosomal RNA
Rfam family: 5.8S ribosomal RNA (bases 1-120)
Source: RNAcentral
GAUGAAGAACGUAGCGAAAUGCGAUACGUAGUGUGAAUUGCAGAAUUCCGUGAACCAUCAAAUCUUUGAACGCAUAUUGCGCUCGAGGCUUCGGCCGAGAGCAUGUCUGCCUCAGCGUCGGUAUUACCCCUCGCUUCUCAACCCCUGGUUGAUGCCUGCCUGCCUUUGCAGUUGGCUAGAAGCGGAUCUGGCUUUCCCAAUUGCCUUUGGUAGUUGGGUCAGCUGAAGCACAGAGGCUUGAGCAAGGACCCUUAUUGGGCUUCAACUGGAUAGGUAGAACUGGUCUUAGGACCAACUACACGAAGUUGUUGCUUGUAGUCUUUGUCUGGAGGCCAGCAGGAAACCUUUAUACCUUCGACCUGAGCUCAGGCAAGAUUACCCGCUGAACUUAAGCAUAUCAAUAAGCGGAGGA